AUUUAAAUAGUUUAAUUUAAAACAUUGAUUUGUGGUGUCAAAAAUAUAUUUAUUAAAUAUUUUAAAUC
RNAcentral lists this transfer RNA (68 nucleotides) under Abia mengmeng. RNAcentral's name for it is "tRNA-His". Lineage: Eukaryota; Metazoa; Arthropoda; Insecta; Hymenoptera; Cimbicidae. The record is from RNAcentral.